This 651-nucleotide ribosomal RNA is filed under the name Penicillium bovifimosum. Its description in RNAcentral is "eukaryotic LSU rRNA". It matches the Rfam family "Eukaryotic large subunit ribosomal RNA", at positions 1 to 669 of the family's 3401-position model. Lineage: Eukaryota; Fungi; Ascomycota; Eurotiomycetes; Eurotiales; Aspergillaceae. The record is from RNAcentral.
UUGACCUCGGAUCAGGUAGGGAUACCCGCUGAACUUAAGCAUAUCAAUAAGCGGAGGAAAAGAACCAACAGGGAUUGCCCCAGUAACGGCGAGUGAAGCGGCAAGAGCUCAAAUUUGAAAGCUGGCUCCUUCGGGGUCCGCAUUGUAAUUUGCAGAGGAUGCUUCGGGAGCGGUCCCCAUCUAAGUGCCCUGGAACGGGACGUCAUAGAGGGUGAGAAUCCCGUAUGGGAUGGGGUGUCCGCGCCCGUGUGAAGCUCCUUCGACGAGUCGAGUUGUUUGGGAAUGCAGCUCUAAAUGGGUGGUAAAUUUCAUCUAAAGCUAAAUAUUGGCCGGAGACCGAUAGCGCACAAGUAGAGUGAUCGAAAGAUGAAAAGCACUUUGAAAAGAGAGUUAAAAAGCACGUGAAAUUGUUGAAAGGGAAGCGCUUGCGACCAGACUCGCUCGCGGGGUUCAACCGGCAUUCGUGCCGGUGUACUUCCCCGCGGGCGGGCCAGCGUCGGUUUGGGCGGUCGGUCAAAGGCCCUCGGAAGGUAACGCCCCCAGGGGCGUCUUAUAGCCGAGGGUGCAAUGCGACCUGCCUAGACCGAGGAACGCGCUUCGGCUCGGACGCUGCAUAAUGGUCGUAAGCGACCCGUCUUGAACACGGGCCCA